GUGAACGCUGGCGGUAGGCCUAACACAUGCACGUCGAACGGCAGCACAGUAAGAGCUUGCUCUUACGGGUGGCGAGUGGCGGACGGGUGAGGAAUACAUCGGAAUCUACUUUUUCGUGGGGGAUAACGUAGGGAAACUUACGCUAAUACCGCAUACGACCUACGGGUGAAAGCAGGGGAUCUUCGGACCUUGCGCGAUUGAAUGAGCCGAUGUCGGAUUAGCUAGUUGGCGGGGUAAAGGCCCACCAAGGCGACGAUCCGUAGCUGGUCUGAGAGGAUGAUCAGCCACACUGGAACUGAGACACGGUCCAGACUCCUACGGGAGGCAGCAGUGGGGAAUAUUGGACAAUGGGCGCAAGCCUGAUCCAGCCAUACUGCGUGGGUGAAGAAGGCCUUCGGGUUGUAAAGCCCUUUUGUUGGGAAAGAAAAGCAGCAGGUUAAUACCCCGCUGUUCUGACGGUACCCAAAGAAUAAGCACCGGCUAACUUCGUG
RNAcentral lists this ribosomal RNA (491 nucleotides) under uncultured bacterium. RNAcentral's name for it is "partial 16S ribosomal RNA". It matches the Rfam family "Bacterial small subunit ribosomal RNA", at positions 29 to 507 of the family's 1533-position model. The record is from RNAcentral.